UACACAUGCAAGUCGAGCGAUGAAGUUUCUUCGGAAAUGGAAUAGCGGCGAACGGGUGAGGAACACGUGAAGAAUCUGCCCUCCACUUUGGGAUAACACCGGGAAACCGAUGCUAAUACCGAAUAUUGAAACAUAAGUGGCAUCACUGAGUUUUGAAAGAAUUUUGGUGGAGGAUGACUUCGCGGCCUAUCAGCUAGUUGGUGAGGUAAUGGCUCACCAAGGCAACGACGGGUAGCCGGCCUGAGAGGGCGACCGGCCACACUGGGACUGAGACACGGCCCAGACUCCUACGGGAGGCAGCAGUGGGGAAUAUUGGGCAAUGGAGGCAACUCUGACCCAGCGACGCCGCGUGCGGGAUGAAGGCCUUCGGGUUGUAAACCGCUUUCAGUAGGGAAGAAGCGAAAGUGACGGUACCUACAAAAGAAGCACCGGCUAACUAUGUGCCAGCAGCCGCGGUAAUACAUAGGGUGCAAGCGUUGUCCGGAAUUAUUGGGCGUAAAGAGCUCGUAGGUCGUUUGUUACGUCGGAUGUGAAAACCUGAGGCUCAACCUCAGGCCUGCAUUCGAUACGGGCAAACUAGAGUUUGGUAGGGGAGACUGGAAUUCCUGGUGUAGCGGUGGAAUGCGCAGAUAUCAGGAGGAACACCAAUGGCGAAGGCAGGUCUCUGGGCCAAUACUGACACUGAGGAGCGAAAGUCUGGGGAGCGAACAGGAUUAGAUACCCUGGUAGUCCAGACCGUAAACGGUGGGCACUAGUUGUGGGAACCUUCCACGGUUUCUGCGACGCAG
This 788-nucleotide ribosomal RNA is filed under the name uncultured Actinomycetes bacterium. Its description in RNAcentral is "bacterial SSU rRNA". It matches the Rfam family "Bacterial small subunit ribosomal RNA", at positions 50 to 851 of the family's 1533-position model. Lineage: Bacteria; Bacillati; Actinomycetota; Actinomycetes. The record is from RNAcentral.